GAUGAACGCUGGCGGCGUGCCUAAUACAUGCAAGUCGAGCGAACAGACGAGGAGCUUGCUCCUCUGACGUUAGCGGCGGACGGGUGAGUAACACGUGGAUAACCUACCUAUAAGACUGGGAUAACUUCGGGAAACCGGAGCUAAUACCGGAUAAUAUAUUGAACCGCAUGGUUCAUUAGUGAAAGACGGUUUUGCUGUCACUUAUAGAUGGAUCCGCGCUGCAUUAGCUAGUUGGUAAGGUAACGGCUUACCAAGGCAACGAUGCGUAGCCGACCUGAGAGGGUGAUCGGCCACACUGGAACUGAGACACGGUCCAGACUCCUACGGGAGGCAGCAGUAGGGAAUCUUCCGCAAUGGGCGAAAGCUUGACGGAGCAACGCCGCGUGAGUGAUGAAGGUCUUCGGAUCGUAAAACUCUGUUAUUAGGGAAGAACAAAUGUGUAAGUAACUGUGCACGUCUUGACGGUACCUAAUCAGAAAGCCACGGCUAACUACGUG
Molecule: ribosomal RNA, 497 nt
Filed under: uncultured bacterium
Lineage: Bacteria
Description: partial 16S ribosomal RNA
Rfam family: Bacterial small subunit ribosomal RNA
Source: RNAcentral